AAUUAUCAAACCACUUUCAAUGUCUUGUUUCAUCCAAACAAAAGUUGAAGUGGGUUUGGACAUUGGGAGCUGCUGACUCUUACUAGAGCCAGCUCUUCUGAAUUGCAUUAGCUGAAUCUCUGUUGACCAUGUACAGUGUGAUAAUACUUUACACUGAGCCGUGGUGAAAACAGCUUUAUGGGAUUAAGCUCAAAUGAUGUACAUUGACC
RNAcentral lists this unclassified non-coding RNA (209 nucleotides) under uncultured Agaricomycetes. RNAcentral describes it as "sequence contains ITS2". The record is from RNAcentral. Lineage: Eukaryota; Fungi; Basidiomycota; Agaricomycetes.